RNAcentral lists this ribosomal RNA (94 nucleotides) under Staphylococcus aureus. RNAcentral's name for it is "partial 16S ribosomal RNA". It matches the Rfam family "Bacterial small subunit ribosomal RNA", at positions 1 to 91 of the family's 1533-position model. Lineage: Bacteria; Bacillati; Bacillota; Bacilli; Caryophanales; Staphylococcaceae. The record is from RNAcentral.
UUUAUGGAGAGUUUGAUCCUGGCUCAGGAUGAACGCUGGCGGCGUGCCUAAUACAUGCAAGUCGAGCGAACGGACGAGAAGCUUGCUUCUCUGA